UUAAGCGACUAAGCGUACACGGUGGAUGCCCUGGCAGUCAGAGGCGAUGAAGGACGUGCUAAUCUGCGAUAAGCGUCGGUAAGGUGAUAUGAACCGUUAUAACCGGCGAUUUCCGAAUGGGGAAACCCAGUGUGAUUCGUCACACUAUCAUUAACUGAAUCCAUAGGUUAAUGAGGCGAACCGGGGGAACUGAAACAUCUAAGUACCCCGAGGAAAAGAAAUCAACCGAGAUUCCCCCAGUAGCGGCGAGCGAACGGGGAGGAGCCCAGAGCCUGAAUCAGUGUGUGUGUUAGUGGAAGCGUCUGGAAAGGCGCGCGAUACAGGGUGACAGCCCCGUACACAAAAAUGCACAUGCUGUGAGCUCGAUGAGUAGGGCGGGACACGUGGUAUCCUGUCUGAAUAUGGGGGGACCAUCCUCCAAGGCUAAAUACUCCUGACUGACCGAUAGUGAACCAGUACCGUGAGGGAAAGGCGAAAAGAACCCCGGCGAGGGGAGUGAAAAAGAACCUGAAACCGUGUACGUACAAGCAGUGGGAGCACGCUUCGGCGUGUGACUGCGUACCUUUUGUAUAAUGGGUCAGCGACUUAUAUUCUGUAGCAAGGUUAACCGAAUAGGGGAGCCGAAGGGAAACCGAGUCUUAACUGGGCGUUAAGUUGCAGGGUAUAGACCCGAAACCCGGUGAUCUAGCCAUGGGCAGGUUGAAGGUUGGGUAACACUAACUGGAGGACCGAACCGACUAAUGUUGAAAAAUUAGCGGAUGACUUGUGGCUGGGGGUGAAAGGCCAAUCAAACCGGGAGAUAGCUGGUUCUCCCCGAAAGCUAUUUAGGUAGCGCCUCGUGAAUUCAUCUCCGGGGGUAGAGCACUGUUUCGGCAAGGGGGUCAUCCCGACUUACCAACCCGAUGCAAACUGCGAAUACCGGAGAAUGUUAUCACGGGAGACACACGGCGGGUGCUAACGUCCGUCGUGAAGAGGGAAACAACCCAGACCGCCAGCUAAGGUCCCAAAGUCAUGGUUAAGUGGGAAACGAUGUGGGAAGGCCCAGACAGCCAGGAUGUUGGCUUAGAAGCAGCCAUCAUUUAAAGAAAGCGUAAUAGCUCACUGGUCGAGUCGGCCUGCGCGGAAGAUGUAACGGGGCUAAACCAUGCACCGAAGCUGCGGCAGCGACACUAUGUGUUGUUGGGUAGGGGAGCGUUCUGUAAGCCUGUGAAGGUGUCCUGUGAGGGAUGCUGGAGGUAUCAGAAGUGCGAAUGCUGACAUAAGUAACGAUAAAGCGGGUGAAAAGCCCGCUCGCCGGAAGACCAAGGGUUCCUGUCCAACGUUAAUCGGGGCAGGGUGAGUCGACCCCUAAGGCGAGGCCGAAAGGCGUAGUCGAUGGGAAACAGGUUAAUAUUCCUGUACUUGGUGUUACUGCGAAGGGGGGACGGAGAAGGCUAUGUUGGCCGGGCGACGGUUGUCCCGGUUUAAGCGUGUAGGCUGGUUUUCCAGGCAAAUCCGGAAAAUCAAGGCUGAGGCGUGAUGACGAGGCACUACGGUGCUGAAGCAACAAAUGCCCUGCUUCCAGGAAAAGCCUCUAAGCAUCAGGUAACAUCAAAUCGUACCCCAAACCGACACAGGUGGUCAGGUAGAGAAUACCAAGGCGCUUGAGAGAACUCGGGUGAAGGAACUAGGCAAAAUGGUGCCGUAACUUCGGGAGAAGGCACGCUGAUAUGUAGGUGAAGUCCCUCGCGGAUGGAGCUGAAAUCAGUCGAAGAUACCAGCUGGCUGCAACUGUUUAUUAAAAACACAGCACUGUGCAAACACGAAAGUGGACGUAUACGGUGUGACGCCUGCCCGGUGCCGGAAGGUUAAUUGAUGGGGUUAGCGGUAACGCGAAGCUCUUGAUCGAAGCCCCGGUAAACGGCGGCCGUAACUAUAACGGUCCUAAGGUAGCGAAAUUCCUUGUCGGGUAAGUUCCGACCUGCACGAAUGGCGUAAUGAUGGCCAGGCUGUCUCCACCCGAGACUCAGUGAAAUUGAACUCGCUGUGAAGAUGCAGUGUACCCGCGGCAAGACGGAAAGACCCCGUGAACCUUUACUAUAGCUUGACACUGAACAUUGAGCCUUGAUGUGUAGGAUAGGUGGGAGGCUUUGAAGUGUGGACGCCAGUCUGCAUGGAGCCGACCUUGAAAUACCACCCUUUAAUGUUUGAUGUUCUAACGUUGGCCCCUAAUCCGGGUUGCGGACAGUGUCUGGUGGGUAGUUUGACUGGGGCGGUCUCCUCCUAAAGAGUAACGGAGGAGCACGAAGGUUGGCUAAUCCUGGUCGGACAUCAGGAGGUUAGUGCAAUGGCAUAAGCCAGCUUGACUGCGAGCGUGACGGCGCGAGCAGGUGCGAAAGCAGGUCAUAGUGAUCCGGUGGUUCUGAAUGGAAGGGCCAUCGCUCAACGGAUAAAAGGUACUCCGGGGAUAACAGGCUGAUACCGCCCAAGAGUUCAUAUCGACGGCGGUGUUUGGCACCUCGAUGUCGGCUCAUCACAUCCUGGGGCUGAAGUAGGUCCCAAGGGUAUGGCUGUUCGCCAUUUAAAGUGGUACGCGAGCUGGGUUUAGAACGUCGUGAGACAGUUCGGUCCCUAUCUGCCGUGGGCGCUGGAGAACUGAGGGGGGCUGCUCCUAGUACGAGAGGACCGGAGUGGACGCAUCACUGGUGUUCGGGUUGUCAUGCCAAUGGCACUGCCCGGUAGCUAAAUGCGGAAGAGAUAAGUGCUGAAAGCAUCUAAGCACGAAACUUGCCCCGAGAUGAGUUCUCCCUGACUCCUUGAGAGUCCUGAAGGAACGUUGAAGACGACGACGUUGAUAGGCCGGGUGUGUAAGCGCAGCGAUGCGUUGAGCUAACCGGUACUAAUGAACCGUGAGGCUUAACCUU
Molecule: ribosomal RNA, 2903 nt
Filed under: Escherichia coli KTE66
Lineage: Bacteria; Pseudomonadati; Pseudomonadota; Gammaproteobacteria; Enterobacterales; Enterobacteriaceae
Description: bacterial LSU rRNA
Rfam family: Bacterial large subunit ribosomal RNA
Source: RNAcentral